RNAcentral lists this ribosomal RNA (253 nucleotides) under uncultured bacterium. RNAcentral's name for it is "partial 16S ribosomal RNA". It matches the Rfam family "Bacterial small subunit ribosomal RNA", at positions 524 to 776 of the family's 1533-position model. The record is from RNAcentral.
UACGUAGGUGGCAAGCGUUGUCCGGAUUUACUGGGCGUAAAGAGCGCGCAGGCGGUCGUUCAAGUCGCGUGUGAAAGCCCCCGGCUCAACUGGGGAGGGUCACGCGAUACUGAUCGACUCGAAGGCAGGAGAGGGUAGUGGAAUUCCCGGUGUAGUGGUGAAAUGCGUAGAUAUCGGGAGGAACACCAGUGGCGAAGGCGGCUCACUGGGGAUUUUCUGACGCUGAGGAACGAAAGCCAGGGGAGCGAACGGG